CUCUUAGCCCGCCCACCAAAAGCGCGACAGCCGUUGGGUCAUAAGUCUAUAGGGCAGGGUGUUCACGUGGCCUAUUUUCACGACCCAGAGUUCCCCUGACCAGAGUUUUUUUUUUUUUUCUUCUUUUCUUUUCUUUCUUUUUUUUUUUUUUCCUGCAGGGAGGCAUUAUGGGUUUUUUUUUCCACUGGGAAAGGAAGUGUCUACGUGGCCUGCGGAAACAGGAUGGGCGGAAAUGAGCUAAGAUUCCCGCGAGUGGGGAAGCGCGAGGUUUGUUUACAUAGAAAGCAUGAACAGGAGAGGGGCAGAGAGAAAGGGAGAGAGAGAAUCUUGAGCUGGCUGGGUGCUGUCACCACAGAACCAACAUGGGGUUUGAUCUCACAAACAGUGAGAUCAUGACCUGAGCUGAAAUCAAGAGUCGGACCCUCAACCGAGUGAACAACCCAGGUGCCUGGAGACCUAAUUUUAAUUCCCUACUUCCUAGCUCUGAGACCUUGGGCAAAUAAUUUAUGUUCUGUGACCCUCAGCUUUUUGCAUGCUUUCUGUAGUUUAGAUGCUGUGUCAUAUCCUUUACAUGGAUAUUCUUCUCUCAGAAAAUCCUUAUUAGAUGGGUAUGAAUCAAUAAAGCUCAAAAAAACAAAAAUUAAUGUAUCUAUUUUUAUUAUUUUUUUAAUGUUUAUUUAUUUUUGGGAGACAGAGAGACAGAGUGCAAGCAGGGGAGGGGCAGAGAGAGAGGGAGACACAGAAUCUGAAGCAGGCUCCAGGCUCUGAGCUAUCAGCACAGAGGCCGUCUGGGGGCUCGAACCCACGAAGCAUGGGAUCAUGACCUGGGACAGGGCCCAUAGGGGGGCUCGAACCCACGAAUCUUGGGAUCAUGACCUGGGCUGAAGUCAGAUGCUUAACCGAGUGAGCCACCCAGGAGCCCGUAAAAAUUAAUAUAUCUUUCAAUGUCAAUCAUACAUGUGUGUGCACGCACAUGCACACAUGUGCACACGCACACACAAAGGGGAGAGAGCAAGAUUUAGAGCUGUGGUUCUUCAAGUGUGUUUUCCAGACACACCAAGUCGCAUUGCAUUAUUACUUUGGGGAAAUUGUCAGAAAUUCAGAUGCUCAGGCCCCACCUCAAACCUAAUGAAUCAGAAAUCUUAGGGAUAGGGUUUGGUGAUCUGUAUUAUAACAGAGUGUUCUGCUGAUUCCUGUGUACACUGAAGUUAAAACCACUGCUUUGGAAGACUGAAAUGCAAUGCUUAUUUUUGUACACUCCACUAGAGGGUGCUACAGAAUGUAAAGCAAAACAGUAAAUGAUCUGUUUAUUGAGACACCCUGUAUAUUUUUUCAAAAAUUCUUGUCCUUUUUUAUUGAAGUAUAGUUGACAUACAAUAUUGUAUUAGUUUCAGGUGUACAAUACCCUGUAAAUUAGCAGUCCCAUUUUAAGAUUAAAAACUAAUGUAUAGAGGUGUUCAAUUGUUUUCUCAGUGCAUACAAGUGGAGGAGUCAGGAUUGAAACUACCUGCUUCUCGAGCCCAAGCCCUUGACAGUACUCUGUUGUUCAGCUAUAAUAGCUUGUCUUUCUGGGCCUCAAAAUACGUUACACCUACCUUGUUCCCUGCUUUGCCUAACAUUGACUAGAGCACCAAGUAGAGGGCAGAAAAGCAAACCAAAUAAAUGGAAAUAUUUUGAUGAUUUCAUACCCUCCCUCAUCUCUUUUCUAUAAUAAGAUAUCACAUAAAAGCUCAUAAGUGUUUCCCUUCUUGCUUUUCUAUUCCGCAAAUGUUCUCUCUAUCCUACACUUAAUCUGUUUUAGUUUAUGUCUGAACCUCUUCUAUGUGUGGGGGAGGAACCAGGAUAGUGAGGAAACAUGGUUGUUGAAAGCCUAUUGUGGGCCACACUAAUAACUCUAUACACAUUAAUCCCAACAAUAGGUCUGUUAAUUAGGUGGUAAUUAUCAUUUUAUAGGUGGUAAAAGUAGUUCUAGAGGCUAUAUUUAUUUUUCUUUGCUCAUAUGACUUGUAAGUAGUGGAGUCUGGGUAAUUCCUGGUAUAUCUCACAGUACCAGCCUGCUAAACUUUUUACUGCUCAGUUUUGAAUCCGGUUUAGGUACUUACUGUUUAUGUAACUUUUAACAAGUUCUUUAAAUUUUCUGAGCCUCAGUUUUACCAUACAUUAAAUGGGAACAAAUAUUCCUGCUUCAUAAUGUUAGAGCUGUAGUAUCUAAAGCAGUAGCCACUAGACAUGCGGGUAUUUAACUUUGAAUUAAAGUUAAGUAAAAUUAAAAAUUCAGAUCCUCAGUUGUACUAACCACAUUUCAAGGGCUCAGUAGCUACUUAUGGCUAGUAUUAGUACCAAACUGAACAUCAACAGAUACAUGAUAUUUCUACCAUCCCAGAAAGCUGUAUGUACAGUGCUGAUUUAGAGUUAUAAAGCAUGAAAAAGAACCUAGUAUAGUAUAUAAUUCAUGGCAGGUGCCAAAGUGAUUCCAUCUGUUCUUUCCUUUCAGUAUCAGAGCUAGGUAUGUUCUCCUGUUUUAUUGACAGAGUCAGGAGAGGGGAGUAACUUACCCAAUGCACUAUAAUGGAGGAUACGUCUGGCAUUGGGACCUACAUCUCCUGACUUUCACUCCAAUAUUCUUUCUAGUAGAACCCAUCCUGUUCUACUCUGUUGAGUGAGAUCUCAAGGCCAAGGAUGUGAAUAAUGUGAAUUAGCUUUCGAGUCAGGGUAGUAGCAGAAAAAGUCAUAGGAACUGAAUGCCUUCUAUGUGCCAGGCAGCACUGUGCUCAGUUCUUUACAUACGUUAUCUUAGUGAAUCUUCCACUGAAGCCCAGAGAAGCUAAGUACUCACUUAAAGUUGCCAACUAACAAAUGGGAGAGCAAAUAUUUAGAUUUAUUUCUGACUCCAAAGCCCAAGUUUUUUUCUUCAUUAUGCCAUGCUAUCCUCUUCAAUGUAAAUACCCUCCUGCCCCUUCCACUUACUAAGUAGGAUAAACCUUCCGUAGAUUCCUGACUUAGUGGGUCCUCAGAAAAUGUGAGUUACUCUUCCUCCUUCUUACAUUUAUAACUGAGUCAUUGUCUUCACAAUUUGUUUCAACUGGAAGGGAAAGAUAGCUUAGGUCACUUUUUGGUUGGCUUCAAGACCCAAGUCCAGACAGAGACUGUUUAUGGUACUGGCCUUCAGAGAGAACACCAGGUGGCUCCAAGAUCUCUGUUAUUUUCAAGGCCAUCAUUUCCUCAUAAAAUGCCUUUGUGCUAAUUAGGAACACGAGCCACCUGAGAGCAGACAAAUUGUAGAGAAGUGUCCACUCCAGUGAAACAAUGAGAAAAAUAUUUUUCUUUCUCACAGCUGUUGGAGCUCCACCAGGGCAGUCGAAGAAUGAAUUUCCUCUAGUUGGGUACACUUGUGCAGGGACAAUCUGCUCUGCCUAAUAGUAACUGUAUCGGUUGCCCUUGCCUUGUGACUAAGAGCCUUCCUAAGUCUGGAAGGUAGUGGUCAGUCUUUUCUGGAGAGUGGAGAGGGACACCAGUGUCCUCUCAUGGCUUCUGGAUAGUAGGUGAAAUUGUUGCAUUCUAAGGUUAUUUUGGAUUUUUUUUUCAUUUGGUUCUGACCAGCUUAUUGGAUGAUAUUUAAAAUAAUGGUUAAUUUAAAAGUGAAAAAAACUUAAUAUUUCAAGGCUAAGCAAAAUAGUAUUUUUAAAAAUAAUAAUGUUUUCUGGGAAUGCAAAUUGGUGCAGCCACUCUGGAAAACAGUAUGGAUGUUCCUCAAAAAACUAAAAAAUAGAAAUACCCUAUGACCCAGCAAUUGCACUACUGGGCAUUUAUCCACAGGAUACAGGUGUGCUGUUUCGAAAGGACACAUGCACCCCCGUGUUUAUAGCAGCACUAUCAACAAUAGCCAAAGUAUGGAAAGAGCCCAAAUGUCCAUCGAUGGAUGAAUGGAUAAAGAAAAUGUGGAUGGAGUAUUACUCGGCAAUCAAAAAGAAUGAAAUCUUGCCAUUUGCAACUACAUGGAUGGAACUGGAGGGUAUUAUGCUAAGUGAAAUUAGUCAGAGAAAGACAAAAAUCAUAUGACUUCACUCAUAUGAGGACUUUAAGAAACACAACAGAUGAAAAUUAGGGAAGGGAAACAAAAAUAAUAUAAAAACAGGGAGGGGGACAAAACAGAAGAGACUCACAAAUAUGGAGAACAAACUGAGGGUUAUUGGAGGGAUUGUGGGAGGGGGGAUGGGCUAAAUGGGUAAGGGGCAUUGAGGAAUCUACUCCUGAAAUCAUUGUUUCACUAUAUGCUAACUAAUUUGGAUGUAAAUUUUAAAAAAUAAAAAAUAAAAUUAAAAAAAUAAUAAUGUUUUCUAUUUAUACCUGCCUCAUUCCAUAGGGAUUUUACAAAAACAGUUCAACAAAUUAGUCUGCAUAAGUCUAGUUUGCUAGCCUAUGACAGACAGGGCAAAGGAUGGAAAUAGUCAUGGAAGUUUUAUCCUUUUAUGGUGUUUGUUCUCUUUUAGCUCCUUUCUCCUGUAAUCAACCCUCCUCUGCUUCAACUGGCCCAUCCAUUUAGCAGAAAGAGGUUACUUCAAAUGACUGAAACAUAAAUCUAAUCAAUGUGGUCUUUGGUGACCUUAGAAUGCCAAACUUGCACAUAAUGCUUUGGUUCCCACUUCCUGAGUCAGUAGUUUAGGAUGCAAUAUACCGAAGUUUGUGGUUUUGUGAACCACAGGAUUUACUUGGAAUCAUGUCAAGUUAUCCAUGUUACACAUCAACCAACAGAGGUAAGGACUGAUUUUCACCAGUGUAUUCUGACUCCUACAAUCUGAUCAUUGUCUCAAAGAGGUUGCCUUGAGCCAGUUUUCCAGAGAUAAUUUGUUGAUGCUUAUAAGCUGCACCCACAGUCCCCAUUUUACUGGGAAUGAUAAAAGCUAUGUCUUUCAUAAACUUCAGAUGUCAUAUUAUUAAAGAGGACAAACCAGUAGUAUUUAAAGUGCUGCAUCUUUAAAUUGUUGAAGCUUUAUGAACCCCAUGGGUACAUGGCAGUUUGUUAUACUAUUCUUUCUACGUUUGUGUAUUUUUAAAAGUCUUCCAUAAUAAAAUAAUUAAAAAUGACCAAAAAAAGUGCUUCAUUAGUCGUGAGGAAGAGAACACUCAUAAAGUUUCUCUUUAGAAGAGUUCUAAUUAACUUAGGGGUGGGGUGGAAUGUACACCUCUUUAGUAGUUAUGUACCAUGUAAAAAUCCAGGGAGGGGAUAUUUUAGAUUGAUAAGGCCUCUGCAUUAGAAAUUCUGAUAAGGUCUUCUGUAAGGAGAAUCUCCUCUGGCCUGCAGUUCCCCUCCACCAGACCCCUGAAGAAACCGCUGUAAUGAGCCACUAUUAGUGAAAGAAGUGUAUCAUAUCCAUUGGACAUUUGGGAUUGGGAGGAGGGAGUUUGAAAACCACAGAAAUGGGUGUCAACUAAUUAAUUAAAGCUGUGUUAGACAGCAAGAAGAGAAUCACAGACAAAGUGAACCUGGGGACAAGAGACUGCUAGUAGUAUAAAAAGGCUUCAUUCCCAUCCCAGGUGAGUGCUGGAGAGAGCAAAGCUAUUAAGAAAGGAGGGGACUAGGAGCGCCUGGGUGGCUCAGUUGGUUGAGCAUCCUACUUCAGCUCAGGUCAUGAUCUCACAGUUCGUGAGUUCGAGCCCCGCGUCGGGCUCUGUGCUGACAGCUCAGAGCCUAGAGCCUGCUUCAGAUUCUGUGUCCCCCUCUCUCUCCACCCCACCCCUGCUUGUGCUCUGUCUCUUUCAAAAAUGAAUAAACAUAAAAAAAUUUUUAAAAAUGAAGGAGGGGACCAGGGAGCAGAAUAUGUGGCAAAGAGGCCCUCACUUGGAAUCUCAAAGGAUAUUCUUUGAAGACUCCAGGCCCUAUCUGAUUUGUACUUUUUAAAACAGUUGGGAAAGCCAUCUGAAGGCAAAGAGUUCACACAGACAACAUAUGCAACACAAACAUACAUGCACUUAUGCCUGAGGACCUGGAACCUGUCUUCUCAGUUUUUAAAGGUAGUCUCCAUAAAGUACACAUUGAAAACUAUGUGGUUUGGUUCUUUUUGUUGUAUUUUUACUGUGCCACGGAGCAAAGAAGGGUAUUGGUACAUUGUUGGAAGUGAGAUAUGGUUGGAGAGGUGGGGCAUUGUUUAGAGUGUGGGGAUGUAGAAGGACAUGUUCUUUCAAGGCCUUGAAGUUUGAGGUAACACGAUUAGAAACUGGGGACAGAGAAGAUAGCAAGGGCAGUUAUUAAAAAGGUACAAAGCUGAGAUUCACCCAGCUGCUCCUAGGCCAGAGUUGUGGGUGGGACAUCAGCGAGACCCAGGCGGGUGCCGCCAGCUUUCAAUAGAGCUGGUCUGUGAAACUUGGCCGGGAGGACAGAGGAAGAUUGAUGUUUGCUCCAGAGUGGGGCUGUCAGCUGUGCUCACCACCGCACCAUGGUCCCAGCUGUAAACAAAAGUCCUGGCCCUUCAUGGCACUGCAGAGCCGUCCAGGCUGGCGUAAGUCUCUGAGGACAGCUAGACCAUUUUCUCAUCCUGGCUGACAACCAGAAGACAGAAGAAACAAUAGAAGGUGGUGGUGGUGGUGAGGGGUGGAGGCAGGAUUGGAAGGGGGUGAGAAGCAGUGUCUAGUGGGAAAGAGCUGUCGAUUUCAAAUCUUAGGUCUUUGGAUGCAAGUAACAAAUCUUUUAAAGAAAGCAGACCCCUUUUCUUGUCAGCUUCACAGAUAAUAGUGAGUUACUAAAGGAGGCCUGCAGGGACUAUAUAGUGCCUCAUUCACUCAUUCAUUUAUUUCAUGAGAGUAAUUUAAUGUGCCCAUCACUGGGCUAGGUAUCCUGGAUGAUGCCAAAGUAAUAGAAGACAGUUCAUAAAUUCAAAGAGCUUGCAGGGAGUUUGGGGAUAUGUGUACAGCUAAGUAACAAUGCUAAAUAGUGUAUCUUUAAGUGCUAAGUGACAAACAUUGGAGUUUAGAAGCAAGAGAAGCCAUAUCUGGGCAUGAUCAGAGAAGGUGGGAUUUGAGAAGGCCUUAGAAAGAUAGACAUGAUUUGGCUAGAAGGAAAAGGUAGUUGGGAUUCCAGGUUGGGACCAAAGCAUUACAAAAACGAAGACUGCUUUAGCUAAAGCAGAAGGUUAUUGUGUCAGAGACUUCCUUCAACUGUUCACCCCCACCAAAAUCCUCACCAUAGCUAACCCAGACUUCAGGUCUCACUUGAAAUGUUACAUCUUCAGAGAACACUUCUUUGAUCUCCAGGUUAAGUACCCUUGCUUUAUAUUCCCCUAGAAUGCACUACUUUCCCCUUUUUAAGCUAGGAUUAUUUUCAACUAAUAACCUACUCUUGUCUCCCUAGAAUUUUUUCUCCACGCUACAUUCAGAAUGUUCUUUGCAAAAUGCAGAUCUGUUACAUCACUUCCUUCUUUAAAACUCUCCUACCCCAACCCCUUCAUUCUCUUUUGCCUCCCUUUAUGUCCUUCCUGCUUCCUUCCCUCUUCUUUUUCCUUCAGGUUAUAUCUUAAAUGCCUCUGUCUCGGGGAAGCCUUCAGGACAUCCCUUCCCCCAAUUUUAACCUCAACUAGGUCAAGUCCCCCUCUUAAAUAUUUCCAUGAUACUUCCACAUAUUCUCCAUUUUACUAUUCUCUAAUAACUUAGUACAAGUUUGUCUCCCCCACAAGAAUAUAAACCCUCUGAGGGCAGGGGCUAUGUUUCUUCUUCAGUGUUGCCCAUAUAUUUAGUACAGUGCCUGGCAUAUUGUGGUAGGUGCUCCACAAAAAUUUGAAUGAACCCAAGGGAGAUGAGGCAAUAUUGGUAGGUGAAAGCCAGCCUGAGGAGACUGUUCUUAUAUCUAGGGGCAAAGGGAAAGCUUUAAAAGUGUUUGGCUCUAGAAUGAGGAAAUCAUUAGACAACACUGACUAUUGAAAAAACAAACAAAAAUCUAUUCAAACAAACUAAACCCAAAGAGCUCAAACAUCAGCUUACCCCAAACCCUAGCCUUCCAAUUAUCUUGUGGACUCAUAUUCUCUCAUACCUAUUCCUGCCACCACUUGCUCCUCCAAAAACAAAAGAAAACUUACUCAUUGAUUUUUCCAACCAGAGAGAUUUGGCACUAGAGCCAAAUGCACUUACUUUAACACUUGUAUUUGUUCAUUCAGUUGGUAUUUAUUGCCCACGUCCACUGUUUUAAGCACUUUUGAUCUUAGCUACAGAUGAAGAAGAUAUUCUUACCUUAAUGGAGUUCACAACUGAGUGCACUCUUCAGGAUGAUCACUCACUUGAGUGAUCACUCACUUGAUAGCUCCAAAUUUCUAGUAAAGGAUUUUGCCUUACCUGGAUUCAUUUAGGGACUUUUCAGGGCACCAGGAGCCUGAAUCUCAGGGUUAGGUCCUCUGUAAAACUGGGGAGUCAAACUCAGAGAAUGGAUGCUUAUGCUAACCCACACUAGACUUUUAUCCUUCCAUGAGGAGGCUAAAUGGCACAGUGGAGAAUGUCUUCAAGGGCAUUCAGGGAAUAUCCAUUCCUUAACCAUAUGAGUCUGGGCAUAAUAAGGCAAACAGGUCUCUAGGGUAUAUCCCUUGAAUGGAGAAACUCAAGGAAGGACAGGAAAAAGAAUUAGAUUUUCCAAUAAAAAUUGAAGAGUUGUCCUGUACCCUGAGGGGAGCUGAAACAAAAGUGUGGCUCUAAGAAAUCUUCCAAAAAUAAUCAGAAAAUACUCACCCUCACCCUAGGGUAGAUGUUAAUGCCAGGGGAUGGUUUCUUUUCAUCUUAGGUUCAGUCCCCAAGUGGUUAGUAAGAUAGUAAAUGGAGAUGUCAGAAAGGCAGUGUUCCUCUGCCCUGCUCCCAGGAAAAUUAAAGGGAAGAAAUUCAUACUGUUUUGUAGUUGUAGUCUUUCCUAACUGGUUAUCUCUUGGUUGAGGGAUAACAUCAAACAUGGUAUCAGUGAUAUUUUGAAGAUACAUUUAUUAGUUUUGACCCUCUCUCUCUCUCAAAUCCUUUACCCUGAACAAGAAUCCACAACCAGGAUAUCAGGAGAGAGAAUAUAUAUAAUUAGCAGAUAGACAUGAAUUAGAUAAAUGUCCAUAAUUCAUUGCUCUACUCUGUUAGGUGGCCUUGAGUGCAGAGGGUUCAUACACUUGGAAUUUGAAGUCCUAAGAGACAAGCAGAAAGAAACCAGUGGAGUAUAUUUCGUAGAAGGAUAACAAUGUACUGAGAAACCAUAUUGUAUCCUUCCUUAAAGGAUCAACUUGAAGCUUAAGCCUAAGGGAUUCACAAAUAAAUUCACAAGAGAAACCUGGAGAACACCUGAGUUUGUAGAAUUUGGAGCUUGGCAUGACCAUUUUUUUUUUAAGAUUUUUAAGUAAUCUCUAUACCCAACAUAACAUGGGGCUCAAACUUACAACCUUAAGAUCAAGAGUUGCCUGCUUCACCAACUGAACUAGCCAGGUACCCCUUGGCAUGACCACUUUAUACCUGUAAUUUUCUAACUGGUGCCAAGAUUUUUGCUAUCCUCUUUUUAUGAGGACUGUGGAUAUCUAAUAUGGAUAUCAGCCAAUGUUUAACAUGGCAGAGAUUGGGAACUGAAUGGUCAUCACAAAGACAGUUUCCUCAGCUGCAGAUUACCUUUGGCCUUUAAUCUUCUUCAGUCUGUCACAGCAGUCUCAGAAAUGAGCCUCUGAAGUUAACAUAUUAUGACAGCCUUUGGUCUUUCACUUUCUUUUCCAUUCUUUCCCUUCAUAGCUUCAACUAAGUUGAAAAAAAGGGGAAUUACACUUGGGCCUGGGCUUUGCCCAAUCAGGCCUCAGUAUCCCAUGUUGUCUAAUGAGCAGACCAGACUAAAUGAUCUGGAAAGGCCCUUCCAUCUCUGUUGUGCCAGGUUCUAGAAUUCCAAGACAUUGUGAUUCAUUGACCCAGAAGCCUUAUGGGAAAUCCCAUGAGAGAUUAGUUUUCUAAAAGAGCCAAUUGUUUCUCUGUGUGGGAAUAGUGGUAAAUACAGUCAAUAUAGCAAAUGUGCUGCUGUGACCAUAGUCCCAAGCAUUCUAGCCCUUCUGAUGGUCAGGGAUAUCUUUAUAACAAUGAUACUCACUGCCUGAAGUAGGUAAGGAUUCAUGCAAAUUGAGGACUGAUAAGACUGUGAUCAGUCAGAAAAGCAUUGUCAGUAAGUGAAAGGGGAGGGAAGUUAAUAAAGAUUCAGGACUUCUGUGGGUUGAUAACUUGAAGGGGAGCUUAGAGUCAAAAAGAUGUCCAAUUGCUAGAUUAUUUUGUCAUGACUGCCUUUCAUUUUGGACUGUACUCAAAAACCAAGCUCUUUUUAUAUACUAUUAUCCAAGUAAUACAGUUGUAACACCCCUUGACCUGUUAAAUGAAUUACCUCUUAAAGUUUUAGAUGAUGUAG
This is an RNA transcript of Acinonyx jubatus (cheetah), 10381 nucleotides long. It is a transcript of the gene named transmembrane protein 31, with no coding region annotated. NCBI's taxonomy places the organism in Eukaryota, Metazoa, Chordata, Mammalia, Carnivora, Felidae. The record is from RefSeq and is a predicted model, not a curated record. The transcript has 2 exons.